This 1024-nucleotide long non-coding RNA is filed under the name Equus caballus (horse). Its description in RNAcentral is "lncRNA (ENSECAG00000042120.2)". The record is from RNAcentral. Lineage: Eukaryota; Metazoa; Chordata; Mammalia; Perissodactyla; Equidae.
CACGACUCAGUCCUCCAUGUGGCAGCAUGGAGUUUUCCUGCCUUUGAUCCUUUCUUGUGGUUUGACACUUACCCUGCUCCCUCUGGGGUCCAGGCUAGUGAAAAACUAAGCUGAUAAGAGGGGAUCUUUGUUAAAAUGGAGAAAACAGACAGGGAAUCUGUGCAGUUAGGAUCCUGGAAGGAAAUGGGUGGGAUCGUUCAGGAGAGUGUCGUGAGAGACCGUUUCCAAGGGUGUGAGAUGGGUAAGGGGAACCACCAACAAUGGUGGAGGUCAUUACCAAACACAGGCCAGAAGGGCAGGGAGAACGCUGGUGACCAGCACCCGGAAGCCGCUGACAGUGUGGGCUUUGGAAGACGAACACAGCAAUUGAUUUGCUGUUGUCUGCUACACGCCAAGCAUGGCUCUAUUCACCACGGAUGCAAUAAUGAAUUAGAAACACCUCUGUGCCGAAAAGCUCAUAUUCUACAGGGAGGAGGGGAAUCAUAAACAGAUAACUAGAAACAACCUGCAGGUGCAGUCAUAGAAGUAUGCCUGUGGAAAUAUGCAUCUACCAAGGAAGAGAACUUCACCUGACUUGGGGAUUUGAGGAAGACUUCCUGUUGGAAUAAUGAUGGAGAUGAUAUUAGCAAUGAAAGCAACUGGUCAUGCCGAUGAAAUGUGUACAAGUGAAACCUGAACCACAUUGGAUACGUAGCUGCUCAUGGAGACAUCCCAUAAAAAGUCUAAUUGGUGGAAUCCGCAAAUUGACAAGAGACCUUGCAAAUAUUAGUGGAAAAUAUCUGGACUACUAAUUCAGCCUGCAAAAGGGAGAAUAUAUUUGAAUGAAAAUAGCACUCACUGGAGACAUCCAUCCUCCAUAAUAUCCACACAUAGUCUCAACAAGGAUGUUGUGUGAAGAGGUGAUACUGGGAGCUGCUGCAACCAUCUUGCAACCACAAGGAGACAAACUUGAGGACAAAAGGUAACGUGAAAAUGGCAAAGAAUGACUUAGGUCUUUGAUGUUAUCAUUGAACUAUGAAAUGAG